This is a long non-coding RNA of Coffea arabica (coffee), 172 nucleotides long. RefSeq lists it as uncharacterized. NCBI's taxonomy places the organism in Eukaryota, Viridiplantae, Streptophyta, Magnoliopsida, Gentianales, Rubiaceae. The record is from RefSeq and is a predicted model, not a curated record.
AUGUACAGAAGUGAGAUGAUUCUUUGAUAAAAGUGCCCAAUCAAAUGGAAGUCUGAAAAAGAAUCUGAGAGCGAAGUGACAGGCUUAUCUUACCUACUCAAACAUUCUGUGCAUCCAACUGCCAAGGGUUUUAUUCUUUUCCACCGGUGACCAAAUUCCCUAAAAGCAGCAG